Long non-coding RNA from Hipposideros armiger (great roundleaf bat), 122 nucleotides. RefSeq lists it as uncharacterized. The transcript is spliced from 2 exons. The record is from RefSeq and is a predicted model, not a curated record. Lineage: Eukaryota; Metazoa; Chordata; Mammalia; Chiroptera; Hipposideridae.
UGAUUCUGACGCACGGAGGGUCCGGUUGGCAUCGAGGCUUCUGAGUUUCAGCCGGGCACGCCAGGAACUCCAGCGCAUCACUGAAUACUGAUGGUGAAAAGAGAUAGCCUUGCCUCAUUCUG